This 70-nucleotide transfer RNA is filed under the name Loxodonta africana (African savanna elephant). It matches the Rfam family "tRNA". From Rfam's summary of the family: Transfer RNA (tRNA) molecules are approximately 80 nucleotides in length. Their secondary structure includes four short double-helical elements and three loops (D, anti-codon, and T loops). Further hydrogen bonds mediate the characteristic L-shaped molecular structure. tRNAs have two regions of fundamental functional importance: the anti-codon, which is responsible for specific mRNA codon recognition, and the 3' end, to which the tRNAs corresponding amino acid is attached (by aminoacyl-tRNA synthetases). tRNAs cope with the degeneracy of the genetic code in two manners: having more than one tRNA (with a specific anti-codon) for a particular amino acid; and 'wobble' base-pairing, i.e. permitting non-standard base-pairing at the 3rd anti-codon position. Lineage: Eukaryota; Metazoa; Chordata; Mammalia; Proboscidea; Elephantidae. The record is from Rfam by way of RNAcentral.
GCACUGGUGGUUCAGUGGUAGAAUUCUCACCUUCCAUGUGGGAGACCCCAGUUCAAUCCCAGCCAGUGUA